UACGGGGGGAGCAAGCGUUGUUCGGAUUUACUGGGCGUAAAGAGCUCGUAGGCGGUGUGUCACGUCGGCCGUGAAAACCUGCAGCUUAACUGUGGGCGUGCGGGCGAUACGGGCAGACUGGAGUACUGCAGGGGAGACUGGAAUUCCUGGUGUAGCGGUGGAAUGCGCAGAUAUCAGGAGGAACACCGGUGGCGAAGGCGGGUCUCUGGGCAGUAACUGACGCUGAGGAGCGAAAGCGUGGGGAGCGAACAGG
Molecule: ribosomal RNA, 253 nt
Filed under: uncultured bacterium
Lineage: Bacteria
Description: partial 16S ribosomal RNA
Rfam family: Bacterial small subunit ribosomal RNA
Source: RNAcentral